Molecule: long non-coding RNA, 3228 nt
Organism: Acinonyx jubatus (cheetah)
Lineage: Eukaryota; Metazoa; Chordata; Mammalia; Carnivora; Felidae
Exons: 3
Source: RefSeq, a predicted model, not a curated record
CCCCGCCCCGCCAAGGAGGGCGCCGGGCAGCCGUGCGGAGGCGGUGCGGAGCCGCCCGGGGCGCGCCGGUCCCCACAGCGUGACGGUGGCAAGUUACGGACCCAGGUCUCCCCAUUUGUAAAAGCGGUUAGGAAGCCCAGGCCCAGAAUGCAGGCGACUUGCCCAGUUUCAGGUGUACAACAUAAUCAUUCAGUGAUUACAUACGUCACAAAACGCUCACCUCGGUAAGUAUAGUUACCACCCGUCACCAUACCAAGUUAUUACAGUAUUAUUGACUGUAUUCUUUGCGCUGUACUUUUUAUCUCUGUGACUUCAUUACUUUACAACUGGAAGUUCAUACCUCUGAAUCUUCUUCACCUAUGUUUUUUUAAAACUUUAAAAAAUUUUCUUUAUUUUGAGAGAGAGAGAGUGCUAGUGGGGAAGGGGCAGAGAGAGGGGGAGAGAGAAUCCCAAGCAGGCUCCAUGCUCAGUGCAGAGCCUGACUUGGGGCUUGAUCCCAUGACCGUGAGAUCACAACCUGAGCUGAUAUCAAGAGUCGGACACUUGGGGCAUCUGGGUGGCUCAGUUGGCUAAGCGGCCGACUUCGGCUCAGGUCACGAUCUCACAAUUCGUGGGUUCAAGCCCCACGUUGGGCUCUGUGCUGACUGCUCAGAGCCUGGAGCCUGCUUCGGAUUCUGUUUCUCCCUCUCUCUGCCCCACCCCUGCUCUUGCUCUGUCUCUCUCUCCUUCAAAAAUAAAUAAACAUUAAAAAAAAAAAAAAGGGACACUUAACCAAUUGAGCCACCCAGGGGGUCCUUAAUCCUCUCCCCUCUGGCAACCACCAGUUUGUUCUCUGUAUUUAUGAGUCUUAAACAUGUAAUCUUUAUGAAACUAAAACACAAAUAGAUACAUAAGUCAAUGGAAAAGAAUAGAAUGUCCAGAAAUACACCCAAAUAUUUGUAGGAAUCUAGUAAAUAAAAGUGUGGCAUUUCAAAUCAGUAGGGAUAUCUAAAAAGUAUUGGGACAGUUGGUUAGAUAUGUGGGAAAAAAAUCUGGGUUCUUAACUCUUGCCUUAUACCAAAAUUAAUUCUAAUUUGAUAAAAGAUUUGAUUAACUAGAAAAAAAUUAAACCAUAAGUUUGCUAGAAGUAAACAUGUGAAGCCAUUUAAAAAAUUGUAACGGUGUUGGCGGGGAAAGGGCCUUUCUAAGUAUGAUACAAAACCUUGCCUGGAGGUAAAAAAAGCAUAAAUAAAAUGAAAGAUCGAUGCCUCUGAAAAAUAUUUGCAACUCAUGUCACAAAGGGCUAAUUUCCUCUGCAUGUAAAGAGGUCUCAGCAAUCAGUGUGAUAGGCAUUUCUUCAAAGACAGUCUAUAGAUGGCUAAUAAGAACAGGAAAAGGUGCUCAGCCAUGCUUAGCCAUUAAGGAAAUGCAAAUCAAAACCACAGUGAGGAUGCCUGGGUGGCUCAGUCGUUUAAGCGGUUAAGCGGUUAAGCGGCUGACUCUUGGUUUUGGCUCAGGUCGUGACCUCACAGUCGAGGGAUUGAGCCCCGCGGCAGCCUCUGUGCUGGGCUCCCUGCUGGAUUUGGAACCUGCUGAAGAUUUUCUCUCUCUUCCUCUCCAUCUGCCCCUCCCCGCCCCACUCUAAAAAAAAAAAAAAGAGUGGAGCAGGGAGGGGAGAUAACAAGUCCUGGAGAGGACUUGGAGAAACUGGGACCCUCAUACAUUGCUGGUGGGAAUGUAAAAUGGUACAUCUGUUUUGGAAAACAGUUUGACUGUUCCUCAAAAUGGUGAACAUAAACAUAGAGUUACCUUAAGACUAAGCAAUCCACUCUGAGGUAUUUUUUAGAGGCGCCUGGGUGGCUCAGUAGGUUGGGCGGCCAACUUUGGCUCAGGUCAUGAUCUCACGGUCCGUGAGUUCGAGCCCCGCGUCGGGCUCUGUGCUGACAGCUCAGAGCCUGGAGCCUGUUUCAGAUUCUGUGUCUCCUUCUCGCUGACCCUCCCCUGUUCAUGCUCUGUCUCUCUCUGUCUCAAAAAUAAAUAAAACGUUAAAAAAAUUUUUUUUCAAAGAGAAAUUAAAAGAUGCAUCCAACCUAGGGUGCCUGGGUGACUCAGUUAGUCCGGCAAUCGACUGUUGAUUUCAGCUCAGGUCAUGAUCCCAGGGUGGGGGGAUCGAACCCCAUAUCGGGCUUGCACGGAGCAUGGAGACUCCUUGGGAUUUUCUCUCUCUCUCUCUCUCUCUUUCUUUCUCCCUCCCUCUGCCCCUCUCCCAUGCUUGCUCGAUCUCUCUCUCUCCAUUACCUCUUUCUCUCCCUAAGCAAACAUAUGUCCACUCCAAAACUGUUACAAUAACGUUCAUUAUUUAUAAUAGUCACAAAGUGGAAACAACCCAAAUGUUCAUCAACCGAAGAAAGAGGAAUACCAACUGAGGUGUAUCCCUGCAAUGGAAUAUCAUUCAACAAUAAAAGGGAAUGAAUUUCUGACAUCUGCUGCAACAUGGGUGAACUUUGAAAACAAUAUGCUAAGUGAAAGAAGUCAGCCAUAUGAUUCUAUACGUGUGAACUAAACAUCCAGCAUAGGCAAGACUAUGUCGAGAAUAGAUUAGUGGUUGCUUCAGUCCGGCAGGGGUGGUGAGGACUGGAGUUGGGGGGCAGGGACUAAUAAUGGGUACCCUGGGUUUCUUAUUGUGAGGGAGACGAAAUGUUCUAAAAUCCAACGGUGGUGAUGAUUGCACAGCCUGCGAAGAGACUAAAACCCCUGAACUGUACAACUUUAUGUAGGUGAGCUUUGUGGGAUGUGAAUUGUUUCUUAAUUAAGAUGUCAACCAAAAUUUAAUACAAACAAGACCAGAAACAAAAAGGAAAAUGGACGUGAACAUAAGCAGACAAUCCAUGGAAAGGGAGGUGCCUCUUAGACCCAUGAAAAGAGGUUCAGCUUCACUCAUAAGAAGAGAAAUAUAAAUUAAAAUGAUAAUGAGUACCAUUUUCACCUAUUUGGGAGAUUUUUUUAAAAUAUUUUUUUAAGUUUAUUUUUAAUUAUUUUGAGAAAGAUAUGGAGAGUGUGUUGGGGAGGGGCAGAGAGAGGGGGAGAGAGAGAAUCCCAAACAGGCUCCACGCUGUAAGGGCAGAGACAGAUGCGGGGCUCGAACUCAUGAAUUGUGAGAUCAUGACCUGAGCUGAAACCAAGAGCUGGAUGCUUAACCGACUGAGCCACUUAAGCACACCUGGGAGAGUUUUUAAAAAAAAUGUUUAU